UACGAAGGGGGCUAGCGUUGUUCGGAUUUACUGGGCGUAAAGCGCACGUAGGCGGAUUGUUAAGUUAGGGGUGAAAUCCCAGGGCUCAACCCUGGAACUGCCUUUAAUACUGGCAAUCUCGAGUCCGGAAGAGGUGAGUGGAAUUCCGAGUGUAGAGGUGAAAUUCGUAGAUAUUCGGAGGAACACCAGUGGCGAAGGCGGCUCACUGGUCCGGUACUGACGCUGAGGUGCGAAAGCGUGGGGAGCAAACAGG
RNAcentral lists this ribosomal RNA (253 nucleotides) under uncultured bacterium. Its description in RNAcentral is "partial 16S ribosomal RNA". It matches the Rfam family "Bacterial small subunit ribosomal RNA", at positions 524 to 776 of the family's 1533-position model. The record is from RNAcentral.